This 684-nucleotide long non-coding RNA is filed under the name Apteryx owenii (little spotted kiwi). Its description in RNAcentral is "lncRNA (ENSAOWG00000012147.1)". Lineage: Eukaryota; Metazoa; Chordata; Aves; Apterygiformes; Apterygidae. The record is from RNAcentral.
GAACCAUGGGGCGGAAGGGAGAGCGGCCUGAGGGGGGGGCGAAACCAUUCGCUCCAGGGAGAGGGGAAGACCAGAGAAAUGAGGCUGAUAGAGGGUAAAAACACUCAAAGAGGAUAUCCUUCCCCCCCUCAGUCUCAGAGAGAGACCCCUAAGGCAGCACUUUAUGCCGUCUUUGGGCCGCCUUGUUUCCCCCGGCGGUAUCCUCAYCGACCUCUUUCACUUCAGUGAAAGAAUCAGUGGAGAAAGGAGAGGUGCAGACCAGACAGCCCCAGAGGAAACUAUUGGAAAGUACCUGUGUGGGAGGCAGAGGCAGAAAUUAGACAAAAGRCAUCGUGCUGCUGGUGUUAACUCCCAAACCUACAUAGAUCCUGUCCACACUGCGGUGAAGAGUGGAGGUGCCUCGACACCAAAAGCAGUUUAGCUGUGGUAGCACAAACCUCUGUAUUAGCUGAUGAAUUCUGCUACCCUGCUCUGCAUGGUUGUUGCUACCCCUAGUGUCUCUCCCUGCGCAUAGUGCAAUACAGAGAGAGAAAAGACAAGGCUCCAGCUCUUAGAGAAAACUUACAGAUGUGAUCCCUGCGGGUUCCAAACAAGAAGACGUAAAAAUUAUAUAUAAUCAUUUUAAUAGUGUGCGCAUCCGUAUAUAUAAAUAAAUCGGAACUAUCCAAUUAGGUAUAUAUAGCU